Molecule: unclassified non-coding RNA, 302 nt
Filed under: air metagenome
Description: partial contains small subunit ribosomal RNA, internal transcribed spacer 1, and 5.8S ribosomal RNA
Rfam family: Eukaryotic small subunit ribosomal RNA (bases 1-46)
Source: RNAcentral
AAGUCGUAACAAGGUUUCCGUAGGUGAACCUGCGGAAGGAUCAUUAUUGAAUUAGCAAGUAGGGUGCUGAUGCUGGCCUUUUAGGCAUGUGCUCGUGCUCGAAACCUCUUCAUCCUCUCUCUGUGCACCUUUUGUGGUCUUUGAACGUUCUCCGCUGUCAAACGCGGGUUAGGAGGCUUUCUCGAGCCUCUGGUUCGGAGACCAUGUUUUCAUAUCCAUCAGUAUGUUUUAGAAUGUCAUUUUGUAGUGGCCUCGGUCAUUAUAACCUUAUACAACUUUCAACAACGGAUCUCUUGGCUCUC